This 253-nucleotide ribosomal RNA is filed under the name uncultured bacterium. RNAcentral's name for it is "partial 16S ribosomal RNA". It matches the Rfam family "Bacterial small subunit ribosomal RNA", at positions 524 to 776 of the family's 1533-position model. The record is from RNAcentral.
UGCGUAGGGGGCAAGCGUUGUCCGGAAUCAUUGGGCGUAAAGCGCGUGUAGGCGGCCUUGUAAGUCCGUUCUGAAAGCCCGGGGCUCAACCCCGGGAGGCGGAUGGAUACUGCAAGGCUCGAGUACGGAAGAGGCGAGUGGAAUUCCCGGUGUAGCGGUGAAAUGCGCAGAUAUCGGGAGGAACACCAAUGGCGAAGGCAGCUCGCUGGGACGUUACUGACGCUGAGACGCGAAAGCGUGGGGAGCAAACAGG